RNAcentral lists this ribosomal RNA (357 nucleotides) under Syngnathus fuscus (northern pipefish). RNAcentral's name for it is "partial 12S ribosomal RNA". It matches the Rfam family "Bacterial small subunit ribosomal RNA", at positions 794 to 1356 of the family's 1533-position model. Lineage: Eukaryota; Metazoa; Chordata; Actinopteri; Syngnathiformes; Syngnathidae. The record is from RNAcentral.
GCAUAACUGUAAACACAGAUAGCAAGCUUACUCGCAAUCCGCCAGGGAACUACAAGCACUGGCUUGAAACCCAAAGGACUUGGCGGUGCUUUAGACCCACCUAGAGGAGCCUGUUCUAGAACUGAUAACCCCCGUUUAACCUCACCCUGUUUUGUCAUACCCGCCUAUAUACCGCCGUCGUCAGCUUACCUUGUGAGAGAUUAUAAGUGAGCAAGAUUGGUACAACCCAAAACGUCAGGUCGAGGUGUAGUGUAUAGCAGGGGAAGAAAUGGGCUACAUUUACCCAUCGGUAAAUACGAAUGAUUUAUUGAAAAGUAAAACUGAAGGAGGAUUUAGCAGUAAGAAGAAAAUAGAGCG